AGAGUAAAUCGGUUUGUCGCCACUUGUGGAGGAAAGUCCGGACACCAAAGGGAAGCAUAGCGGGUAAUGCCCGUCCGUUGUAAAACGAGGACAAGUGCAACAGAAAGCAAGUACAGUUCGGCUGUAGUGAAAUCAGGUAAACUCUAUGCGGUGCAACGCCAUGUAAACCAGCGUUUGAGGGUGCCCGCCCGAUGUUGGAGGGUAGGCGGUUUGAACUUAUAGGUAACUAUAAAUCAAGAUAAAUGACAAACACUUUUCAGUUGAAAAGAACAGAAUCCGGCUUAUGAUUUACUCUUUUU
Non-coding RNA from Capnocytophaga canimorsus Cc5, 299 nucleotides. It matches the Rfam family "Bacterial RNase P class A". From Rfam's summary of the family: Ribonuclease P (RNase P) is a ubiquitous endoribonuclease, found in archaea, bacteria and eukarya as well as chloroplasts and mitochondria. Its best characterised activity is the generation of mature 5'-ends of tRNAs by cleaving the 5'-leader elements of precursor-tRNAs. The record is from Rfam. NCBI's taxonomy places the organism in Bacteria, Pseudomonadati, Bacteroidota, Flavobacteriia, Flavobacteriales, Flavobacteriaceae.